GAGAUCAGAAGGUCUCCCCCCAGCUCCUGUUCUCCAGCUGAACGCCCCAGGUCCCUCAGCCGCUCCCAUCACACUUGUGCUCCAGCCCCUCACCAGCUCCGUUCCCUUCUCUCAACUUGCUCCAGCACCUCAAGGUCAUCAAAGGAUGAAAAGGAGUUGUGGAAAUUAACUGGGUCCUAUUCAUUGUGUGAAAGAAAGAAAGAUCCACCAAGCAAGUCCUCAGCUGAAGACAGGCCUCCCCUAUUCACAUGCUCCGGUCUUCUGUAGGAUUUUUAAGUCAGUAAUUGCAAUUUGUCCAGAGUAUGAUUUUAAAUUUGGCAAUUCUUUUAUUUUCGAGAAAGUCAAGUAGUAAUGAUGAGUAUCCAUGCUGCUGCUAUCGGGAAAGAACAGGAAAAAAUCAAUAAUGAGAAGCUUAGGCUGCUGCUUCACUGCUUGUCACCUUUACUUAAAUUGUCAGUGAGGAUGGCACUUGGCAUCAAAUGGGAUGCCUAAUUAUACAGCCCAGUUUCAGCGUUUUCUCCAGGUAGAAGGGAGAGCGUGUGUCUGGGUUUCCUUACCCUGACCCAGCAGUGCCUUCCAAGCAUCUUGGCGUUCAGACCACCCUGCCUGCCACCUUACUGCUCAUUUUAAAUGAUGAUAUUAGCAGAAAUAACCCUAAUUUAGACAUAAAAUGCAAUCAAACUGAAAUUUUGACAGCUCCCGAGUAACUAAAAAGCACCUAGUGAAAUUUUCAAUAGUGCUCCGAAAAUGCAGCCCUAUGCUCUUUCAGCUACCUAUGUCUUGAAAAUCUGAGUGCUUUAAACCAACUAUAUUUAUUGCCUUUAAGCCCAGAUGUUUGACAUUUCUGAAGCUGAGAUGAGGGAGGAGACUGUUCUGCGCCCCCUGUGAGGCCAUGACCAGCUCCAGGGACAUGCUGACCACUUCAACAGUGCUAUGAUUCAUUUUUGCAUGCACCCUGUCUUCUGUCGCACCUCUCGAUCCAAAAUAAAGGCCACCAACGCAGCGUGUGCCCAUAGGGGCUUCACGCAGAGUGUAACACAGAUUAUAGAAUGUUCAGAGUCGGAAGGACCCACCAGGAUCAUGGAGUCCAACUCCUGUCCCUGCAAUGACAACCCCACAGGUCACACCGUGUGUCUGAGGACGUUGUCCAGUCUCUCCUUGAACACUGUCAGGCUGGGGCCGUGACACCUCCCUGGGGAGCCUGUUCAGUGUCCAGCACCUCUGGGUGAAGAACCUUUUCCUCAUGUCCCACUAACCCUCCCUGGCACAUCUUCUGCCAUUCCCUCUGUAACAAAGAGGACUUUCACACCUCCAUCCUCCAAAUCUGUCUCAGGUGAGUUGAACUGCUGAGCAAAGCUGCUGGGCUCGGGUGGCUCAGACAGCGGAGCGUACACUCCAACAGUGGGUAUGGUUAAGGAUUUUCAUCUAUUCUUUCACUUCUUUUAUACAGGGUGCACUGGAGCAGGUUUUCUUGCCUUGUGGCACUGCUGGCAGAAAGGGGCAGAGCACCUUUGGAUGCCCAUCUCCCCCAAAGGACACUGCUGUUCCUCUCGCACUGCCCCACCACCAGGUUCUGCUGCCACCCGCACACCCAGCCACACGUAACUACUGAGUUUGCUCACAGGUUGCACUAAACACAUGGUCAGUGCCAGGCCUCACAAGUAGAAGAAGAUGCAGCUUGCUGGACCUCCUGCUGUGGCAAACGGAAGGAUGAAAUCAAAGGUGCUCCCAGCCACAAGUGUGGACGGAUCCUCCUCUGCUGCUCCCUCUCAGGCUGCGGUCCCGGCAGGAAGGGGAAAGUACAGGGAGAUAUAUCUUCACCGGAUUCAUAAAUCGCUGUAGCUCUGUUUGCACCGUGGGGACUAUCGAAGCCCAGUGAAACGCAGAUUCCCCGUGCUCACUGUGUGAGGAAACGAACACUUUCACAUUCCCUUUUUACUCUCCUAGAUAAUAACUCUUUUGUUUUAACAAAUCUUUCACUUUCAGGGGUGAUUAGAUACUUUAUCUGAAUGAAUCCUAUUAUUUAAAGCCUUUCCUGCCUGCUUCUCAGUGUGCAUUCUGACUCAUGUACCUAUUUUCAUGUAGAGAUUAUUUAGAGAAGGUAUUUUUUUUUCCCUUUUAAAAAUAGCAGCAAGCAGGUUUUUGGACCAAACCUUAUCUGUCUGUACGGCUGGUCAUUGGUGCCCAGCUUAGCGACAAGAACGGAUGCGAAAACGCCAUCGCUAACGCUUGCUGAUGAUGUUUCACUGCUGCAGAAGAGGCUGCAAUGGAAAUAUGGAGCCUAACUAUGAUGUUCGCAGGGCUUGGAGUAUUACAAGAUGCUAAACCACAAAGAUACAGCCAAAACGCAGCAGCGCGUUGCCGCGCACCCUCAAGCUGGGAUCUGCCUGAUCGGACCAUGGGAAGGGAGGAGGCUGCAGUCACAGUUAACCAGGAGCAGCAUGCCAUGUUCUUUAAUAUAAAUACCACUAACGUAUGUGCAUAGGAUGCAUUUUCAUUGAGCUCCCCAUGUACUACACACCCACAUGCUCCAUGUGCAGCCGUUACGUCCGCCUCAUUCUCCCCGUUCAGCCCACACUCCUACUUAGUGUGGUGCUCCCUGGCCAAGGUAAUUUUUAAACUCCUUACUAAUCAUCUCCUACAGCACGAUCCUGCAUCUUCCUGACAUACCUUUCUUGAAACCAGAACGUCGAGGCUCUGCUGCAAAAAUAGCCACAUGAACCUGGAGUCAACAUCCAAAGAGAUCUAUUAAAGAAGCGGCCAGAUACAAAGAGAUCGGGGAGGGAGAAGGAACAGGAGAUGGUAAUUUGUGUUCCCCUGACUGAGGGGAUUUAUCUGCAUUUCUAGUUAAUAAAAGACAUUAAUUGAUUCACAUUUUCUAUGGCUGCACACAGCUAUUUCUGGCUGGAAGGAGACACUCUGAAAUGGAAUGAGUCAGACCAAACCUGUUAUGUCACUCUGGGACCCCGAAAGAUUUGUUAAUAGUUCUGAAAAAAUUGAGUUGCUUCACAUGGCUAUUUUCUCCUCAGACAUCAAAAGCAGAAGGAAAGUACAGUAAUUCUGAAGACUGACUACUAUUUUUUUUACAUGGUCCUUUGCGUUUGACAAGUAGCAACAGGAUAAUCAAAGAGCUUUGCUCUCUGUGAGGCACUUGCGUAGAAAUCUCGGUUGGAUUUAUCAGCCCAGCUACACGUAAUCUCCAGAGACUCAGCUCUAAGCUCAGGAGAGUCCGAGCAGGUCACAGCUCCUCAAUUCACUUCCUACAAUUUCUUCCAGAUUGACUUCACGAAGCAAAAGAUAGUGCUGAGUUUUACAGGAAGGAAAGUCUUUUUUUUUUUCUCUGAAAAAUAUAGAGAAAAACAUUGUCUUUUCACCAAACUCUUCUUCCCCACAAAGGCACCUGUUUCCUAGCCAGGAAUGAGGCUCUUUAUUCUAAAAUGAAGUUGCACUGGUGACCAAACUGUUUGAAGUUCCUUUGUGUUCAGCGGGGGUUUGAGCGGCCACUCAGGUAUCCUGUGUUCCCCUCUGGGUCAGGGUGUCCUGUGGGGUGACACCUCGAGGAGACAACGGCUGCUGUGACACACGUGGCGGCUCUGCCCAAGGACAGGAGACGAUAAAUCAUGGGGUGGAGACCAGCCAAGGGGCUGAGACGGUGGCCCAAAGUGACAAGGGACAUGUAAGGAAGCCCACCUGUGCCUCCAGCCCUCCGACAGCAUUUCCAUGGUCAGUUUGAAACCGAGCAAUACGUAUGCUUUGUUUUUCACCAGAAGACCAAAAAAUAUCUGCAGAAAAUGUUGACAAAUUGAAAGCAUUUGUCAUUUCUGCUUCUGUUUCCGUGGUGAUUAAGAAAAAACCAACCACCAGUAUUUCCAACUAAGACAACAAAGCCUCCAGCUCACAGCCGCGUCCAGUCUGUCCUGAUAUUCGCCCUUGCUCUCGCCCCCACGCUUCAAACCAGCAUAACAGUGGCAGGAGCCUGUAAACUGGGCCUCCUGCUCAUCUACAAAGCUGGAGCCUCUUUGCCCUUUUAACUACCUGGCCAGGGCUGUUCAUGACAGGAUAAAUGUCUGUAACUAGCCUCAGUCUAUUUAAAAAGUGAUAGUUAUGCUCUGUUGUCAUGUCAGUUUUUGACAGGGAAAAACCAUCACUGUCAGUGGUGAUGAUGGAACGUGCUCUCCGUUGUUUUCUCCAACCUUUUUUGUGGUGUUGACAUCUUAAACAUUUGCAGUUCCUGGACAUCAGAAGAGCCCAUCAAGGGGUUCAGCUCUGUGUUACAGAUAUGCAAAGCAGAAGCCUGGGUUUCUUCUGAACUUUCCUCCCACUGGGUGCUGAGACUAAUUUAGCAGCAUAGGGUUUGCAAAUCUACGUGCAGCCCUGGCACAAUAGCGGUAGCUGGCUUAAGGUGUGUGUGGGGGGGUAGAAGUGCAGUCAUGUUAAAAUCCUUACAGCUCUGACAAAUCUGCCUCCAGACACACUCACAUUGUCAUCUUGCUUAAGGAAAAAGCGUGCUAGAGAAAAAGGAUGGUAACUGGGCACCCUCGAAGCCUCUGCAGCCACGGAGCCUGUAGCGAUGCGGAUUUGUGAGCGCCGCUGGUCGGAUGAGCUGCUGGGUUGCAGUGUUUCAGUCCUCCCUCUCUGUACCAGAAAGAGGGUGAGGGGGUAUUUGGAGAAAACCACCUUUUUGUGAGAGUGUUGCGUGUUGACAGACACAGAGAAAGAAAUCUCAGCCUCUGAGUGCUCUGGCAUCAGCACCCCCCUAAGCCCCGGUCUCUGUAGCCUUCUGGCUCCCAAACCCGAGGUCUCCUGCUUGCACAUAGCAACCAGUCAUUUUGCUGUCUUUUUAUUCUGUAUCAGUGAAGACUUGCAUUAAAACAUCUGAGAAUCCUUAAAGACAAGAAAUUACUGUGGCAGAGCAAGGAUCAAUGCAAGGAAGAUAAAUACAACUUGUGCUAGCUGGAGCUCUUGUACUUCAGAACACAAAUCGCAAAAUGUGAUGCCAAGCUACAAAUCCAGGGUAGUCCUUCCAUAAUGCCACGUUCUUUAACUGUGACGCGCUGUGUUGUGAUUCUACAGAGUCAGCUUCAACUGACACUGAAGUUCCGAGCUUGUUUGAAGGAGCAAUGCUGCUGAAACGGUCACACCUCUCCUCCCCUUGCUCCCAUGCCUGUUCUCAAGCCACCACAGCAUCCGUGAGGACACGCGGUGAACCGGCCUGGCUUCAAAGCAGUCGGGCUUUGGUUCUGUCCAACUUGAAUUCUCUAAUCUGGCUCGUUGUGUGCUCACACUGGCGCUUGUGCCGACCCAAAGGAAGAUGCAUCGAGAGGAAGGGAAUGAAUGGGCAGUGGAAAAAGUCUCUCCCUGCUGUGGUUUUAGGGGAUGCUAUUUUAAACAACACCCAAACCCACUGGUUUUAGCUGUAAGGCUUGUACACAAAUCGUAGUUGAUAGAGAAACUCACCUGUCUUAGGAUGAGUUGAACUGCUGCAAAGAUGCCCACCCCUCACCCUGGUCCCUGGAGAGCCCACACGACCAGCUGAGACUAAAGGCCCCAUUUUUAGAUGCUAUAAAUAAGAUUAAAUGAAACCAUCUUCAUGCCCAAUGUGUGAGCCUCCAAAGCUGGUGUGAGCCUUGUAAGGCUGUGGGUGACCAGAGGAGGAUGUGAGGGGACAGGGAGCGGUGCUGGGGCCUGGCUGCCCCCCCGGCCACUGCACCGAACUCCCUCCCCGCUUUGGAGAAGUCUGGAGGCCUGACAGUGGAAACAUGGGGCCUCUCUCUGCAGGGUAACCAGUGGGGAUGGCAGAGAGGAAUGUAAUAGCCCCAUCUGCUUUAUUUCUGGUGCAUUCAGAUGCUGCAGAGCAAGGCUGUGCAUAGGCACAACCUUUGGGAAGGUCUGAGCAGCUGGAAGCUGAUGUACUCAGAGGCACAGCAGCUCUUUUUUGAGGGAUGUUAUUUGUCCUUUCAGAACAGAACUGUAAAGACUCAAACAAUCCACCCUGCUCUGGGAAACUGUCCUUUAUUCUGCUCCCCAUUGGGCACUCUGGGUUGCUGGCACAAGGUUAUUACAGAAACAUUGUCCCUGCUGGGCUCCAAACCUGCUCAUAGAGCUCCCAAGAGAAAAAAGGGACCCAUCCUCCAAGCCUUGUACCAUGAACGCUGGGACAGCGUGUUCCUCUGAGAACUGACCAGGGUCCAUGCCAUGGAGCUGGUGUGCUUGUCCCAGUGCACACCAGUACGCUAACUGGGUGACCGGUGGAGAACCUUGCAGCUCUGACCUUUAAACCUCCUGCACUAAACCCACCCGUGACCCAUCUUCACCCUCUUGUCUUUGUGCUGAUAUUGUCAUUUAGUUUACAUGUUAUUUUCCCUCUCAGCCAUUAAGCCACCACUGUGAUGAAGGAUGAUCCCAUGUCUCCCAGUCUUCCUCUUCUGGGCUAAACAAGUUAAACUCCAGUCUCAUCUUGCCUAGCAGGACAACCUCUCCCUAGAAAACCCUCCUUGAAGCACAGUUCUGUACCUGCUCCUGUAUGAAUUGAACCUCCUUGGACAGAAAGGGCAAAGAGAAGCUGCUCAAUGGCUCCUGCACCUCCUGUGGGUGAUUUCUUAUCCAGAGAGGACUAGAUAACAGCUCAAAGGCACCAUUUUUUGGUGCCUUCUUUCUGUUCCCCAGUGGAUGGCCCAUACCCAUCCUGAGGGCUGGAGGCUUCUGGCUCUGGGUCUCUGAUCAACGCAAGGACUAUGUAUUUAGCAGAAGGUGAGGGCCCUCAAACUGGAUGUAUCAGAGAGGUCUCUUUUUGGGGUAAUCAUCCAGGUAGAUGAUGGAGAAAUUAGACGUGGUUAAGAUGAAGCUCCUCUGGCCUGCUCUGGAUGUGUGGUUUGGGAUGAGCUCCACAGCAGGGCCUCUUUCUCCCCAGGCUCAACGGAGGCUGAGUAGCAAAGUCAGAUGGAGAUGUCAGAAAGAAAAGAGGAACAUCUGUUGUAACUCAUAUAUGCCUGGGAAACCCAUGUGAGCAAACAUUUAAGCACACUUCUCUCCUAGGCAGCAGUGCAAACUGGCAGGUAGUCCUAUUCCCACUCAAGCUGGUGGACCGAAAUCAUGGCUCCAUCACAAGGAUGCUGGUUCAUUGCAAAGGGUGAAGAAGAUAUUGACACUGUGAAAUAUCUGCUCGUAACUAUUAUAUGUCUGAAUUGGCAUUUGUGCAGACAUGGGGAUUCUGCUGGGAAUUGUCUCCCAAGUUAUAGUGAGUCCCCACUGCUGCAGGAUGAUAAAAAGGAUCCUGAGGAGGAGAAGUUAAUGUUGCUUAUUCUCUCUCACUUCCUUUCAAAUGCUGCUCAAGAUUUACUGGAAAAUCCACUGUCAGGUCACUGUUGCCAAAUCUGAGCUUCACCAGUACUGCUCCUCAGCCCCAGAGAUCUGGAACAGAAGGCUUUCUGGAUGAGUCUGUCCUAAAGCCUGAACAACACCUCAGCACCCUCCAGAAGGAAAAAUGUUUACUCCUUUCUGCACGAGCAAGCGACCAAGGGAGCACCCAGACACCACCACGUCAUGAGGAUAAGCCAGAGCCUGUUGGUUGGCGCAAGGGCAGACUGAGCAGGUCCCGUUUCUGACCGUCUCAUCCAUGCGGCCCAGGUCAUCCUGAGGGUGCCACAGAUCUGGAUCCCCUUUCUGGUACAGUCUGAAAGUCACCUCAGCUUGUACUGCGCUCACAACUAAUGGCACAGUCCGAGGUACCUACACUCACUGUAUCUUCUCCUCCCACUUAGUCUCCAGCUUAUUUCUAUCAAACUGCCCUCCUGAUUUAUGUGUCAUGUUUGAUCCAUGUUCCAGUCCUGUUUCUGCCUUUCCUUCCCCAACUUCAAGUUAAGACAGUCAUCCCAAUUAAUUUGAUGGCUUUCUUGGGAAAUACUGGUGGAGGAAAAGGCUUUGAAAAUGGUAAAAAUUCUCUCUGUGAUGAUUGCCAUCCUCAGUUCAGUGUCUCUUGUGCACUUCCUCCUAAAUAUUUCAGGGUACUUCCGUCUUAUCUGCAUAUGAAAGAGAAGUCAGCAGAUCUGAAAGGCUUGUUUAGAAAAUCCAACUGCAGAUAUCUGUUUUGUUUUCACUGGCUCUAUACAAACCCUUAUUCACAUCCAAGGGGUGAAAGCUCUGUAACGAGCAUGAUGAUGACAGUGUACAGCAUCCCUGGCACCGGCAGGAAGGGCUCUCCUCGGUGGCAUGGUGGAGGGAGACGCGUGGCGUGGACACGCUGUGCCUGUGGCCACUGCCUGGCUCCCUGUCCCUGCUCUUGCACACAAAGAGUUUCAAAGGAUCGUCAGCCACUUCGGGGAUCUUGAGAAAUAAGUCACGAAGCUCAAGAUCUUCCAGAAGGCUUGUUUUGUAACUGAAGGAACGGCAGGGAAACAGGAAGGUAAGGUCUCAAUGCAGUGCACUUGAGCAUGUAAUUCUGUGAAUGGAUGAAACAAAAUGCCACCGUACACGCGUCUGCACUGCACGCGAGGGAGGCUGCGGGGAUCACAGACACCUCGCCAGGGGCAGAAAAAGCCACUGGAACAUGGGGCACAAUCAUUUUGCACAACCUCUUCCUAUCACUCACCAAAAGGCAAGUGAGAAUCAAUGAUACUUGACACUGGCUGUUGCCCCGAUGAGCCAGGGGAGGAUGUGUCAGUGCCACUGAGAUCUGGAGUCACGGGGCUACAUGCAUGUUUAUGUGGCAGAUGCUGUGUCAGGAUGUACUACAAGACACAGAAGGGGCCUGGAAGCUGCCAAGCUACUGACAGGACCUUUCUCACUCUCUGCUUUGCUUUUGGAGGGCAGGGGUGGGCAGGCAGCAGCCUGGUACACUGGCUACCGUGCCCCCCGUGAGAGAAUUCAUUUGCAGCAGGCAGGGAUCAGAGCCUGCACAGCGCUUAAACAUUUGAGAGAGAGACAAACAGUGCGGCUGAUGCAAGACAAAGUGCUGUGUCCUUGUGGGCUAAAAUCACUCUAACUUCUGUUGCACCUCUCAGUCCAAAACAAAGGCCAGCAACGCAGCGUGUGCCCUUAGCAGGUUUCACGCAGAAUGUAACCACCAGAAGAAAGGCUGCAGUGUCACCAAGCACAACAUCAAAGCUGUGUUUCCUCGCCAGAGGCCACAAUGAAGCUGUGAGGGUCAGCUGUGGUGCCCCACCUCGUGCCAUCUGCAAACAUACCACAGUGAGUUGACUUUUCAGUUGUCACCGAACCUCUUCCAUGCAGUCGUUAAUCACUUCUCACUCCCCUUAGUUGGAGUAUCCUGUUUUUCCCUCAGGUCACACCAGACUGGAACAAAGGGAGGGUAUUUCUGGUGCUCUGGGUACACAGCAUUAACUUCUACAAGACCAAGAGUCACCAAGAGUCACCAACCCUGGAGGCACUUAAAAGACAUAUAGAUGAGGUUCUUAGGGACAUGGGUCAGUGCCAGAGUUAGGUUAUGGUUGGACUUGAUGAUCUUGGUCUCUUCCAACCAAAAUGAUUCUGUGACUCUAAGGUGAACCCCUGCCCUGGACACUCAGGGGACAGCACGAACUCGAGGAGGUUUCCUCCAGUCCCAGUCGUUUGAGGCACUUGAGCUUCACACCUGAACAUUCAUAUUCCUUCUCUCUCUCCUCUUUUAAAACUUACAGUAUUUUUCCUGUCUCACUGACCAAAAAAGUAUCAUGACCUGUGCUUUGUGUCCUGCACACUCUUGAUCUCAACAGCACCUUGUGACAGGGAGAUCCACAGGUGAGUACUCACACUAGGUCAAAAAGCAUUUCUUGCUCUCCAUUCUAAAUUCAACAUUUUUAAUUCAAUGCCUGUGAGUUGCCACAGAGAGGAUGCGCAGUACUCGCCAAAAUACCUUCUCUGUCCCAAAUCCACUUUACAAACUCUUACCUGCAGCUCCCCCCAAGCACAGACACUUUGCCAGGCACUUUUAAAGUCUUUAUUCACAUACCUCCUAAUAGAAACCUCAGGUUAUUCUCAUUGCCUAUAUUUGAACAGGCUCUAUUUUUAGUUUCCUAGUUUAAAAUGAAUAUGAGGACAUGCCUUUUAUAGACUGUAUGCUCUUGGUAACCGAGCAUAUCUUAAAUUAAUAACAGUAACAUAUACUUUGGAAUAAAACUUGUGUUACAUUUUAAACAACUGAGGCAGAGUGAUGACAUAAAAAGAACAGAUAAGAGUACAGUACCUUAAUAAAAUUUUGAAGGGCUAUGCCUCCAACAAGGAACCUGUGAGCUGUGUGCACAGAUAUGGCUCCACAUAAAGAGCAGAUCUGCUCAGAAAUGCGAUUGUGUAGGAUGAGGGCCUUUACUCAGCAGAUCUGCAUCUCACUGUCGGUACUAACGUUUUUCUUAUCGUAGCCAGGAAGGCAACCCCCGAGCCCAAGCUUCUCCUGCAUCCAACACAGCAUUUGAGCAAACCCCACCAGCAAAAUCCAGACUCCUGGAGUCAGGCUUCAGUUUCCAUCCUGAACAGAACACUUCUUUUUGUUCACAUUAUAAGCAUAUUUAUUCCACGAAUAUCAGCUACUUUUUCUUUUAAAGAAAAGGGCUCUGAUGUGUCUUUAACUCAUUCCUUGUUCAGAGGGGGAAAUGCAAACUGGGAAAGUAAACCCACCAUUUUCUCAAGGGGCAGGUGUGCAGCAGCGCUAUGGUAUGGUCUGCACUGGCAUACAGAAGUUAAUCUUCUGCAGCAGAGCCAAGCCAACGCCAUCAAAAUCAAUUUAAAAAUACCAGUCAUUGGCAGAAAGUGGGUUUGGAAUCAGCCUUUUAGUAGAGGAACUAGGCUGUCAUCCAGAAACUGUAUGUCAGCUAUAUGAAUUAUUGGCAAAAACCCCGUUUAUCUCUUCAUUCACUUGAUGCUAGGACUAUUCAAGAGUCAGAAAAACUGCCAUGACGAGAUCCGUUCCUGCACAAACGCCUCCCGCUCCAUGCACCUUGCUAGGAGCAUUGUCUCAGCCUUUGCCUCCAGCCGGAACACUGCUCCCUGUUCUGCAGCCACUAAUUUAGGGGGAAAUUGAGUGAAAAAAAGGUGCUUCUUGCUUUUCACCUGUCAGGCAAAGAAUCACAGGCUCAAUGUAACCAGCAGCCUCAGAAACUGCCCCAGGCCUGCGUCCUGACAGCUGCGCCCAUGGGAGCACCCGCAGCAGCAAGGCCCUGCAUGGGAACCAUGUCCUCACUGAGGAGAACCUCUAGAGAAACCGUCAUGACUGUCUUUACACAAGGAAAUAAAGGCACACCGCUACGAAAAGUCAUAGUGGGCAUUUGUUUUCAGGAGUGUCAUGGCCUCCACGUGAGGGAUUUGCGGACCCUGGGAGUUGUAAAGUCACUGUCCGAAGAGCGCGGGUGGCAGAAUGGGUUUACUCCAGUUCUGAGGAGAAAUGGAGAUGCAGUCAGAAAGAGCUGUCCUAGAAGCGUUAUGACUGCGUUCUUCUCAACAGAUGACAACUUCUAGAGCACUUGCUCAUGCCCGAAAAGAGAGGCAGGAGGAGGAGUGCAGGACUUGCUCUGGAAAGUCCAACCGAGGAGAAAAUGCUCUGCUCAUUGUGGGGGACUACGGUGGGCCCGUGGCUUCCCUGACAGAGGGUAUGGGAACAGAAAUUAGCCUUGAAGAUAUUAUGGCCUACCCGUGAGAAAGAUGGGAAUAAAGGAGUAUCUGGAGAUGUUAUGGAUGUACCUGUGAGAGAGAAGGGAGUAGAAGAAUAACAUUGAUGAUAGCAAAACCAGCCAAUGAUAUGUUACUGCUGUAACUUGUAACCAAUAAUGAAGAAACACAUUAAUUGGUAAAACUGUAUAAAAAUGCACUUGUGGCAAUAAAUGGAGACUGUUGUUUGUACGUAA
This is a long non-coding RNA of Columba livia (rock pigeon), 11831 nucleotides long. RefSeq lists it as uncharacterized. Lineage: Eukaryota; Metazoa; Chordata; Aves; Columbiformes; Columbidae. The transcript is spliced from 3 exons. The record is from RefSeq and is a predicted model, not a curated record.